Non-coding RNA from Nicotiana tabacum (common tobacco), 910 nucleotides. The record is from RefSeq and is a predicted model, not a curated record. NCBI's taxonomy places the organism in Eukaryota, Viridiplantae, Streptophyta, Magnoliopsida, Solanales, Solanaceae.
AUCAAUAUACUUACCAUAUCUCAUCUGAACCCAUGAGAUUCAAAAGUUCUCCAAAUCUUUUAAUUUCUUCCAUUCUGGGUCUACAAUUUUCUAUCAACGCCUUCAUUCAUGUCCAAUGUUCUUCUAAGUUAGAAAUUUCAUCAACCACUUGUGGUUAAACCGAAGCAGUGACACUUUCUGCUCAAGACGUUUCUUUUCUUGGUAUGAAGUUCAUCAUAGAUGCAGGUUUUGCUAGUCUGAUUUGCCAUACAAAAAAAGAUUUAGUCUGGCAGUACAUAUUUCUAAUUCUAAAAGCCAUAGAUGCUGGUGCUGGAGUACAAAGGCCCAGCUUCCUAAUUGGUGAGACUUAUUUAGAGUUUGAUAAUUCUGGUUUUAAUUAGAUGGAAGUUGGAUCAUGCAUACAAAAAUCAUCAUAGAUGUGACCCAGAAGCCAUAAACUUUGUGAAGGUUGGCAGAUAAGCUUCUAUGGAUGGGAAGAUCUUGUUUAAAACUUUAACAAACUGUUCAUCAUAUCCAACAGUUCAUAAUUAAUUGUACUUGUUUCCUAUCAUUUGCCUUCUAUCUUUAUUGUAAUACACCCUCUUCUCUGAUUUAAUUAUUACUAAGGUACUAUGACAUUUACUGCAAUACUAGUAAGGUUUUAUAAUUUAUAAAUGGCUCUCCUCCUAUACGCAUUCAUGAGAUUAUUCUAAACAAGAGAAAAGCUUCUUAUCUUUUUUUGAAUUUACCACAGUGAUGUUAGUUUCAACAAGCUGGUCGGAAUGAUUCCAGAUGACAUAAGUGCAAGAACAACGCUUAAAUUUGUGUUUUUAUCUGGUAACAUGUUCAGUGGAAAUGUACCUGACUCAAUUUUGAAGAAUGGAAUAAAUGUUGAUCUUUCCUACAAUAACUUUACUUGGCAAGGCCCUGA